Molecule: non-coding RNA, 462 nt
Organism: Myodes glareolus (Bank vole)
Lineage: Eukaryota; Metazoa; Chordata; Mammalia; Rodentia; Cricetidae
Source: RefSeq, a predicted model, not a curated record
CCUCACUUGCCUGUCCCACCGUGUGGUUUUAGAGUAUAAUAUGAGAAGACAAACUGGACUAGGGAUUGAGACCUUUCAAGAGCCGUCCUGGCUUUGGCUCACUGGGAACAUCUCCUCUCCUCUAUUCUAAGUGGUGUCAGAGUGCUUACCGCAGAAUGAUUACCACAAGACAGUCUCAUCCUGGCGUCUUCUGAGACAGCAAAAAGAAGUCUUGCUGGAACAGACCAGCUGACAAAAUGCUUGCCUUGUCAGCACAAGGACCUGAGUUUGGAUCCCAGAGCCAGGUAAAAAGACAAGGUCUUGCUCAGCUGUCUAAGUUGGCCUGAACUUGAAGUCAUCCUGCCUCAGCCACCUGAGUAACUGGGAAGACAGACCUGGGCUAUCAGGCCUAGAAGGUUUUUGGUUUUGUUUGGUUUGAGUAGAGGCAGAUGUGUGCUGUGGGAGCUCCCUCCACUCUUUCAG